Molecule: ribosomal RNA, 492 nt
Filed under: uncultured bacterium
Lineage: Bacteria
Description: partial 16S ribosomal RNA
Rfam family: Bacterial small subunit ribosomal RNA
Source: RNAcentral
AGUGAACGCUGGCGGUAGGCCUAACACAUGCAAGUCGAACGGCAGCACAGUAAGAGCUUGCUCUUACGGGUGGCGAGUGGCGGACGGGUGAGGAAUACAUCGGAAUCUACUUUUUCGUGGGGGAUAACGUAGGGAAACUUACGCUAAUACCGCAUACGACCUACGGGUGAAAGCAGGGGAUCUUCGGACCUUGCGCGAUUGAAUGAGCCGAUGUCGGAUUAGCUAGUUGGCGGGGUAAAGGCCCACCAAGGCGACGAUCCGUAGCUGGUCUGAGAGGAUGAGCAGCGAAAAGGGAACUGAGACACGGUCCAGACUCCUACGGGAGGCAGAAGUGGGGAAGAUUGGACAAUGGGCGAAAGCCUGAUAGAGCAAUAUAGAGUGAGUGAAGAAGGCCUUCGGGUGGUAAAGCCCUGUUGUGGGGAAAGAAAAGAAGCAGGUUAAUACCCCGCUGUUCUGACGGUACCUAAUGAAGAAGCAACGGCUAACUUCGUG